RNAcentral lists this small nucleolar RNA (88 nucleotides) under Tolypocladium ophioglossoides CBS 100239. RNAcentral describes it as "Small nucleolar RNA R38". It matches the Rfam family "Small nucleolar RNA R38". Rfam says of the family: snoR38 is a C/D box small nucleolar RNA conserved across yeast, human, Arabidopsis and rice. The record is from Rfam by way of RNAcentral. Lineage: Eukaryota; Fungi; Ascomycota; Sordariomycetes; Hypocreales; Ophiocordycipitaceae.
GUUCUCGCGUGAUGAUCUAGCCUUUUAUUUAUACAGUUAUCCCUGUCUGAACACAUUGUGUUGAUAAUGUCUAACUUCUGACGUCGUC